UACGAAGGGGACUAGCGUUGUUCGGAAUCACUGGGCGUAAAGCGCACGUAGGCGGCUAUGUCAGUCAGGGGUGAAAUCCCGGGGCUCAACCUCGGAACUGCCUUUGAUACAGCAUGUCUUGAGUCCGAUAGAGGUGGGUGGAAUUCCUAGUGUAGAGGUGAAAUUCGUAGAUAUUAGGAAGAACACCGGUGGCGAAGGCGGCCCACUGGAUCGGUACUGACGCUGAGGUGCGAAAGCGUGGGGAGCAAACAGG
Molecule: ribosomal RNA, 253 nt
Filed under: uncultured bacterium
Lineage: Bacteria
Description: partial 16S ribosomal RNA
Rfam family: Bacterial small subunit ribosomal RNA
Source: RNAcentral